RNAcentral lists this transfer RNA (79 nucleotides) under Candidatus Pacearchaeota archaeon. RNAcentral's name for it is "tRNA-Arg". It matches the Rfam family "tRNA". Rfam says of the family: Transfer RNA (tRNA) molecules are approximately 80 nucleotides in length. Their secondary structure includes four short double-helical elements and three loops (D, anti-codon, and T loops). Lineage: Archaea; Nanobdellati. The record is from RNAcentral.
GCGCCUGUAGCUCAGCCUGGAAUCAAAGAGCAGGUCCGUCCUAAGGACAAGGUCGUAGGUUCAAAUCCUACCAGGCGCA